UGAUUAAAAAAUAGCACAGCGCAAGCCCGAUCCCAUCUGAUCUUGGGAACUAAGCAGGGUCGAGCUUGGUUAGUACUUGGAUGGGAGACCACCAAGGAAGACCAGGUGAUGUAGGCAU
This is a ribosomal RNA of Pteropus vampyrus (large flying fox), 118 nucleotides long. Lineage: Eukaryota; Metazoa; Chordata; Mammalia; Chiroptera; Pteropodidae. The record is from Ensembl.